Molecule: ribosomal RNA, 506 nt
Filed under: uncultured bacterium
Lineage: Bacteria
Description: partial 16S ribosomal RNA
Rfam family: Bacterial small subunit ribosomal RNA
Source: RNAcentral
GAUGAACGCUAGCUACAGGCUUAACACAUGCAAGUCGAGGGGUAACAAGAGGAAAGCUUGCUUUUCUUGUUGACGACCGGCGCACGGGUGAGUAACGCGUAUCCAACCUGCCUAUAACUAGGGAAUAACCUUGCGAAAGUAAGACUAAUACCCUAUGAUUUCCUUUGAUGACAUCAGAUUAGGAAUAAAGAUUUAUCGGUUAUAGAUGGGGAUGCGUCGGAUUAGCUUGUUGGCGGGGUAACGGCCCACCAAGGCAACGAUCAGUAGGGGUUCUGAGAGGAAGGGCCCCCACAUUGGAACUGAGACACGGUCCAAACGCCUACGGGAGGCAGCAGUGAGGAAUAUUGGUCAAUGGGCGGAAGCCUGAACCAGCCAAGUAGCGUGCAGGAUGACGGCCCUAUGGGUUGUAAACUGCUUUUAUACAGGAAUAAAGUUAGCCACGUGUGGUUAUUUGUAGGUACUGUAUGAAUAAGGACCGGCUAAUUCCGUGCCAGCCGCCGCCGUAA